Molecule: ribosomal RNA, 451 nt
Filed under: uncultured bacterium
Lineage: Bacteria
Description: bacterial SSU rRNA
Rfam family: Bacterial small subunit ribosomal RNA
Source: RNAcentral
AGCGAACGCUGGCGGCAGGCCUAACACAUGCAAGUCGAACGGAUCCUUCGGGAUUAGUGGCGGACGGGUGAGUAACACGUGGGAACGUGCCCUUUGGUUCGGAACAACUCAGGGAAACUUGAGCUAAUACCGGAUGUGCCCUUCGGGGAAAGAUUUAUCGCCAUUGGAGCGGCCCGCGUCUGAUUAGCUAGUUGGUGAGGUAAAGGCUCACCAAGGCGACGAUCAGUAGCUGGUCUGAGAGGAUGAUCAGCCACAUUGGGACUGAGACACGGCCCAAACUCCUACGGGAGGCAGCAGUGGGGAAUCUUGCGCAAUGGGGCGAAAGCCUGACGCAGCCAUGCCGCGUGAAUGAUGAAGGUCUUAGGAUUGUAAAAUUCUUUCACCGGGGGACGAUAAUGACGGUACCCGGAGAAGAAGCCCCGGCUAACUUCGUGCCAGCAGCCGCGGUAAU